This 301-nucleotide ribosomal RNA is filed under the name uncultured bacterium. RNAcentral describes it as "partial 16S ribosomal RNA". It matches the Rfam family "Bacterial small subunit ribosomal RNA", at positions 509 to 807 of the family's 1533-position model. The record is from RNAcentral.
CAGUCGCCACGGGAAUACGAAGGGUGCAAGCGUUACUCGGAAUUACUGGGCGUAAAGCGUGCGUAGGUGGUUGUUUAAGUCUGCUGUGAAAGCCCUGGGCUCAACCUGGGAAUUGCAGUGGAUACUGGGCGACUAGAGUAAGGUAGAGGAUAGUGGAAUUUCCGGUGUAGCAGUGAAAUGCGUAGAGAUCGGAAGGAACAUCUGUGGCGAAGGCGACUAUCUGGGCCAUUACUGACACUGAGGCACGAAAGCGUGGGGAGCAAACAGGAUUAGAUACCCCUGUAGUCCCUGUCUCUUAUAC